CCUGUUUAACAAAAACAUGUCUUUUUGAGUUAUUUUUAAGGUCUGACCUGCCCACUGAAAUUUGAAUGGCCGCAGUACUCUAACUGUGCAAAGGUAGCAUAAUCAUUAGUCUUUUAAUUGAAGGCUGGUAUGAACGGUUGGACGAGGUAUAAGCUGUUUCAUAUAAAUUUUUUGUAGAAUUUUAUAUUUUAGUCAAAAAGCUAAGAUGGUGCUAAAAGACGAGAAGACCCUAUAAAUCUUUAUAUUUUUGAUAAUUUAAGUUUUAUGGAUUUUGUUUAUUUUUAUUAUUUAAAGUAUUUUGUUGGGGUGAUAUUAAAAUAUGGCUAACUUUUAAUUAUUGAGGAGUCAUUAAUUUAUGGUUUAUUGAUCCAGUAUUAUUGAUUAUAAGAUUAAGUUACUUUAGGGAUAACAGCGUAAUUUUUCUGGAGAGUUCAUAUCGAUAGGAAAGUUUGCGACCUCGAUGUUGGAUUAAGAUAUAAUUUUAGGUGUAGCUGCUUAAAU
This 501-nucleotide ribosomal RNA is filed under the name Bactrocera sp. DSP001. RNAcentral describes it as "partial large subunit ribosomal RNA". It matches the Rfam family "Bacterial large subunit ribosomal RNA", at positions 1799 to 2568 of the family's 2925-position model. Lineage: Eukaryota; Metazoa; Arthropoda; Insecta; Diptera; Tephritidae. The record is from RNAcentral.